This 398-nucleotide ribosomal RNA is filed under the name Afrixalus fornasini (leaf-folding frog). Its description in RNAcentral is "partial large subunit ribosomal RNA". It matches the Rfam family "Bacterial large subunit ribosomal RNA", at positions 2055 to 2617 of the family's 2925-position model. The record is from RNAcentral. Lineage: Eukaryota; Metazoa; Chordata; Amphibia; Anura; Hyperoliidae.
GAAGAANCGAGAAUAUUAUUAUUAGACGAGAAGACCCCAUGGAGCUUUAAACUUAUUACCAAUUACUUAACCGCUAAACCAUAAUAUGUAGUAAAAAUGUUCUUAAUAGUUUUCGGCUGGGGUGGCCCUGGAGUAAAAUAAACCCUCCAGAAUGAACGGAAUAAGACCCUAAUCUAAGAAUUACAGCUCAAAGAAUCAAAAAACUGACAUUAUUGAUCCAAUUAAUUGAUUAACGAAACAAGUUACCCUGGGGAUAACAGCGCAAUCCAUUUUGAGAGCCCCUAUCAACAAAUGGGUUUACGACCUCGAUGUUGGAUCGGGGUAUCCCGGUGGCGCAGCCGCUACUAAUGGUUCGUUUGUUCAACGAUUAACAACCCCACGUGAUCUGAGUUCAAACA